CGGCGGACGGGUGAGUAACACGUGGGUAACCUACCUAUAAGACUGGGACAACUUCGGGAAACCGGAGCUAAUACCGGAUAAGAUAUCGAACCGCAUGGUUCGAUAGUGAAAGAUGGUUUUGCUAUCACUUAUAGAUGGACCCGCGCCGUAUUAGCUAGUUGGUAGGGUAACGGCCUACCAAGGCGAUGAUGCAUAGCCGAGUUGAGAGACUGAUCGGCCACAUUGGGACUGAGACACGGCCCAAACUCCUACGGGAGGCAGCAGGG
This 266-nucleotide ribosomal RNA is filed under the name uncultured Staphylococcus sp. RNAcentral's name for it is "partial 16S ribosomal RNA". It matches the Rfam family "Bacterial small subunit ribosomal RNA", at positions 96 to 354 of the family's 1533-position model. Lineage: Bacteria; Bacillati; Bacillota; Bacilli; Caryophanales; Staphylococcaceae. The record is from RNAcentral.